This 701-nucleotide ribosomal RNA is filed under the name Nocardioidaceae bacterium J562. Its description in RNAcentral is "bacterial SSU rRNA". It matches the Rfam family "Bacterial small subunit ribosomal RNA", at positions 46 to 762 of the family's 1533-position model. Lineage: Bacteria; Bacillati; Actinomycetota; Actinomycetes; Propionibacteriales; Nocardioidaceae. The record is from RNAcentral.
GCUUAACACAUGCAAGUCGAGCGGUAAGGCUCCUUCGGGAGUACACGAGCGGCGAACGGGUGAGUAACACGUGAGCAACCUGCCCUUCUCAUCGGAAUAAGCGUUGGAAACGACGUCUAAUGCCGAAUACGACCUCAGGAGGCAUCUUCAGAGGUGGAAAGCUCCUGCGGAGAAGGAUGGGCUCGCGGCCUAUCAUCUUGUUGGUGGGGUAACGGCCCACCAAGGCGACGACGGGUAGCCGGCCUGAGAGGGUGACCGGCCACACUGGGACUGAGACACGGCCCAGACUCCUACGGGAGGCAGCAGUGGGGAAUAUUGGACAAUGGGCGAAAGCCUGAUCCAGCAACGCCGCGUGAGGGAUGACGGCCUUCGGGUUGUAAACCUCUUUCAGCACCGACGAAGCGAAAGUGACGGUAGGUGCAGAAGAAGGACCGGCCAACUACGUGCCAGCAGCCGCGGUAAUACGUAGGGUCCGAGCGUUGUCCGGAAUUAUUGGGCGUAAAGGGCUCGUAGGCGGUUUGUCGCGUCGGGAGUGAAAACUCAGGGCUCAACCCUGAGCGUGCUUCCGAUACGGGCAGACUAGAGGUAUGCAGGGGAGAACGGAAUUCCUGGUGUAGCGGUGGAAUGCGCAGAUAUCAGGAGGAACACCGGUGGCGAAGGCGGUUCUCUGGGCAUUACCUGACGCUGAGGAGCGAAAGCAU